Molecule: ribosomal RNA, 168 nt
Filed under: Cyema atrum (bobtail snipe eel)
Lineage: Eukaryota; Metazoa; Chordata; Actinopteri; Anguilliformes; Cyematidae
Also listed under: 1 other name
Description: partial 12S ribosomal RNA
Source: RNAcentral
CACCGCGGUUAUACGAGAGGCCCAAAUUAAUGCUCCACGGCGUAGAGCGUGAUUAAAAAAUAUAAAAACUAAAGCAGAACACCCUCUAUGCUGUUAUACGCCCCCAAGAGGUUGAAGCCCCAAAACGAAAGUAACUUUAACAAUUUUGAACUCACGACAGUCGAGAAA